Pan troglodytes (chimpanzee) is the source of this 265-nucleotide long non-coding RNA. RefSeq lists it as uncharacterized. NCBI's taxonomy places the organism in Eukaryota, Metazoa, Chordata, Mammalia, Primates, Hominidae. The record is from RefSeq and is a predicted model, not a curated record. The transcript has 2 exons.
AAACUGCUUUUCUUCUUAGAAAAACAGCAAGAGGGGGCUGGGCGCGGUGGCUCACGCCUAUAAUCCAAGCACUUUGGGAGGCCAAGAUGGACUGAGAGCUUGGGAUGGAAAUCCCAGUACACUAUCUACCCCUACCAACCCCUGGCUGCCCUGCCUCUCCCUGGAAGGAUGAUGUUCUGGUCUCUUCUGCGACUUCCCAUCAUAGAAGGCUCUCCACUGGAUUUGGAAAAGUGGAACUAAUAAUAAAAAGAAAGGAGAGAAUCAA